UACAGAGGGUGCAAGCGUUAAUCGGAAUUACUGGGCGUAAAGCGCGCGUAGACGGUUAUAUAAGUCGGGUGUGAAAGCCCCGGGCUCAACCUGGGAAUUGCAUUCGAGACUGUGUAGCUAGGGUGCGGAAGAGGGAAGCGGAAUUUCCGGUGUAGCGGUGAAAUGCGUAGAUAUCGGAAGGAACACCAGUGGCGAAAGCGGCUCCCUGGUCCAGCACCGACGUUCAGGCGCGAAAGCGUGGGGAGCAAACAGG
RNAcentral lists this ribosomal RNA (253 nucleotides) under uncultured bacterium. RNAcentral describes it as "partial 16S ribosomal RNA". It matches the Rfam family "Bacterial small subunit ribosomal RNA", at positions 524 to 776 of the family's 1533-position model. The record is from RNAcentral.